This is a long non-coding RNA of Oryza sativa Japonica Group (Japanese rice), 2008 nucleotides long. RefSeq lists it as uncharacterized. The record is from RefSeq and is a predicted model, not a curated record. Lineage: Eukaryota; Viridiplantae; Streptophyta; Magnoliopsida; Poales; Poaceae.
GCGUGUGCGUGCAUGGGGUUUAGCGUUUCGAGAGGUUAGGAUUUGAUCGGCUCUGUGGAACGUUGUAGAGAUCGGGUGCGUGACGUGGUGAUGGUGGUGGUGGUGGCCGGUCUUAUCCUAGGUAGGUAGCUGGCCGAGAACGCGGCUUGUAGUCUCUGAAUUAGCGCCUUAAGAUAUGCUCGUAUGCUACCGAUAGCUACAUAAUUUUAUUAGUGUGAAGUACAUAUGUCCCAACAUUAGAAAAAUUGAUAAUAAAGUUAUAUCUACAGGUGGACGGGAUUCUCCGGAUAAAAGUUCUUACCUAAGACUUGAUGGGCGACGGCGGCCUGUGAUAUCUAUGAAGACGUCGUAUAGGAGAUCAUGUUGAUUUCCUUGCUCGCCUCCAUUCAGGGUGGUGUGUGGCGACGUUCUUAGAUGUUCUCGUCGGGUUACAUGAGAAGCGAGUAGAUCUUCUCUCUCGCCCUUCUCUCUACAACGUCCAAAAGUUUGAAAGCAAUAUUAUGCUGUUUGAAAGCAAUAUUAUGCUGGAGAAGAGCGAGGCGAUAGGUAUGUUCCUCUUCGAAGGGCUGACGACGAUCGGGUACGCUUAGCGAUGAUCGGUUAGCAUUAGUCCUAUCCUCAAUUCCGUUAUUGGAGUCGCCAACGUGUAAUGGAUUGUGUGCGCUAGUCACGAAAAAGGUGCAUGGAUUUUUCAGGAUCAGAUUGAAGCUUCGGGCGUGGGGUCUGCUUUGUUGAAUCAUAAUAUAGUUCACGUAAUCACGCCUCGACAAAUUUAUGAUAGGUACAGUAAACACAGGCACUCGUGCGCGUUCCUGGGAUGAUGAUGGACCGGGGUUGCAGCUUGGUCGCUGUUGUACAACACCAGAGAAAGCUUCUUCCCUGCGUGCCAUUGCCAUUGCAGCUGGAGAAACGUAGUAGUACAGUGUUGAUAGACUCUCCGUGCAACCAGAAAGUAUGGCUGGUGCUACCAAUUCAGCAGGCUGGCACAGCCUUACCAUGUACUAGGCCGACAGGACAUGCCAGCUGCCGGCAGCGACGUCGUCGUGCGCAAGAGCUCAUGUUCAUCACCGAAUUGCUUGCCGCUAACCUUCCGGGAAGAAGGCGGCGUGUGCAGAUGACGUAAGGCAGCACAUGGUCGAUGGUUCCGUCGCUCUCCCACUCGUGUACAGCCCUUUGGAAACUGGAACGAGCACAUGCUUUCCACACACACAACGACAGAGACACUUCUUUGGCCUGUCUGCUGAAGGAAGCGGACAACUUACCUGUUUCGUGUUCUCAAUAUAUAUAUAUAUAUAUAUAUAUAGUAGUUUCGUUGAGCCUCUUGGCUUCUGGGAUGAACCUGUUGCAUUAUUAAGGACCAAGUGGCGGCUCGAUGAACAACGUUGCCAUUCAUCCGCGAGUACCACAUCUCCAGCUGCAUCUUUUUUAUUACGGAAUACAUAGACGCAAGCAUACACCCACAUUAUUACAAUCAAAGAAAGGCAAUAUGAAGAUUCACGUAGGGCCAAGUCCAGUUUUUACAAGUCAAUUGCUGAACCAUUUGGGAGCGGACGCAUGCAAGGGCAACUGAACACAACCGGUCACGGCCACACAAAAAGUUGUGCUAGUGUAGGGAAAUAUAUCCUAUACGCAAUACCGGAUAAUACGGGAACCGAAGCUUCCCGACCUGAAAUGGCGUUGCCCUCCGGGCCAAAGAGAGGAACAUUAUGGCUUAAGCCUCUGCUAUGGCUCUUCGAUUGUUUGCCUCCCUACAAUCUGUACAAGGGAAUGGAUAUACAUUGCGUACCAGAGAUCAAUCAUUAUACCCAACCAGCAGGCAACAGCAUUUAGCUGUUUAUUCUCAUCUCAAGCAACAACACGCCUGCUUAGACACCGCAUAAGGAGGUGUGCCAACAUUAAUCAAUAAUGCAAGCCUAAAACUGCAGCAAGGCCUUGCAGUUUCACUCCUAUCAAAACAUGAACAGCUUAUCUCUUGGAUGAAGUCACCUUCCAUGCAUUUCCUUCUUUU